RNAcentral lists this ribosomal RNA (492 nucleotides) under uncultured bacterium. RNAcentral describes it as "partial 16S ribosomal RNA". It matches the Rfam family "Bacterial small subunit ribosomal RNA", at positions 29 to 507 of the family's 1533-position model. The record is from RNAcentral.
AGUGAACGCUGGCGAUAGGCCUAACACAUGCAAGUCGAACGGCAGCACAGUAAGAGCUUGCUCUUACGGGUGGCGAGUGGCGGACGGGUGAGGAAUACAUCGGAAUCUACUUUUUCGUGGGGGAUAACGUAGGGAAACUUACGCUAAUACCGCAUACGACCUACGGGUGAAAGCAGGGGAUCUUCGGACCUUGCGCGAUUGAAUGAGCCGAUGUCGGAUUAGCUAGUUGGCGGGGUAAAGGCCCACCAAGGCGACGAUCCGUAGCUGGUCUGAGAGGAUGAUCAGCCACACUGGAACUGAGACACGGUCCAGACUCCUACGGGAGGCAGCAGUGGGGAAUAUUGGACAAUGGGCGCAAGCCUGAUCCAGCCAUACCGCGUGGGUGAAGAAGGCCUUCGGGUUGUAAAGCCCUUUUGUUGGGAAAGAAAAGCAGCAGGUUAAUACCCCGCUGUUCUGACGGUACCCAAAGAAUAAGCACGGGCUAACUUCGUG